This 16-nucleotide ribosomal RNA is filed under the name Beta vulgaris subsp. maritima. Lineage: Eukaryota; Viridiplantae; Streptophyta; Magnoliopsida; Caryophyllales; Amaranthaceae. The record is from RNAcentral.
GAUCAUACCAGCACUA